This is a non-coding RNA of Pelobates cultripes (western spadefoot toad), 506 nucleotides long. NCBI's taxonomy places the organism in Eukaryota, Metazoa, Chordata, Amphibia, Anura, Pelobatidae. The record is from the annotation of a GenBank genome assembly.
CACUGCAUCCCAUACAUACACAAACUCACCUUGCAGCCCUUACACAUACAAACACAGAUUCACACAAUGCAUUCCUUACACACAUCAAGACACCCCCCACACACACUCCACUCCCUGUGAACAAACUCAUUGGUGGAACAUGACCCAGACCUUGAGCUGUGUAAAGGGCCCUCAAAAAAAAAAAAAAAAAAAGGGAGCUGCUUCCCGUUCUCCCUGAACAGUGAUUUUUGUGACCACCGUUACAAACCGCCUCCAGAGAGCCUGUUGUACACCAGACCAGUGGAGCCAGACGGCAGCUAGAGCCCAUCAUCCUCAUCUGGUUGUAAGUAGGCCAUCUAGUAUAUUAUUCGUGGUACUAAUCUCUAAUUUACCUCACAUUAAAGGGACACUGUAGUCCCCAGAACUACUGCAGCUUAAUGUAGUGGUUCUGGUGUCUAGCCUGUCCCUGCAGGCCUUUUAAUGUGAACACAGCGGCACUGCAGCACUGGUGUUAGUUAACAUGGCAG